RNAcentral lists this small RNA (833 nucleotides) under Pongo abelii (Sumatran orangutan). RNAcentral's name for it is "processed transcript". The record is from RNAcentral. Lineage: Eukaryota; Metazoa; Chordata; Mammalia; Primates; Hominidae.
UGCGACAGCCCAUAGGCUUGCCCCCCGGGCAUUCGGGUGGACUACGAACACAAACUGAAGCCCUACGACUUGUCGCCCGUUUGCGCUCUCGCCGAGGCACAGGCUGCUCGUGGACCACCCUGCUCCGAAAACUAAGAGGUAGGUGGUAGCCCACUCAUCUGGUUACUGUUACUGGCCGGCAUCAGCAGACUGUCGGCAGGUCUUUGAGCAACUGGCGUGUGAAAUGGGACGGACGUCAAAGGACAAGCGGGAUGUCUACUACCGCCUGGCCAAGGAGAAUGGCUGGCGUGCUCGCAGCGCCUUCAAACUGCUACAACUGGAUAAGGAAUUCCAACUCUUCCAAGGUCCCUGACUGGUGGGCAGGUCACUGGGCGGUGAGGUGGGCACAGGAGGUAAACAAGUAGGCUGGGUCUGCAGAGCUCCCUGUGGUAGGUGGGCUGACUCAGAGGGUCUCUGGGGCAGGGAGACAGGCAGGAAGAUAGGCAGAAUACCGGAGAGGAGUUGGGCACCUGGGCAGUGGAGAUAUGUAGGUGCUCCCCAGGGGAGAGGGGUGAAUUUUGCAAGGGUCUCCAGGUUGGAGAAGUGGGUGCAGCUGACCAGGAUGCUUUCACUAUGCCCAGGCGUGACACGGGCAGUUGACCUGUGUGCAGCCCCGGGCAGCUGGAGCCAGGUGCUGAGCCAGAAGAUUGGGGGCCAAGGGUCCGGCCACGUGGUGGCUGUGGACCUGCAGGCUAUGGCUCCACUACCAGGUGUGCUGUCCACUGCCAAGGAGAUCAUCCAGCACUUUAAGGGCUGCCCUGCGGACCUAGUGGUGUGUGACGGGGCUCCUGAUG